GUGUCAGCCGCCGCGGUAAUACGUAGGUGGCAAGCGUUGUCCGGAAUUAUUGGGCGUAAAGGGCGCGUAGGCGGUUCUUUAAGUCAGAUGUGAAAACCCGAGGCUCAACUUCGGGCGUGCAUUUGAAACUGGGGGACUAGAGUGCAGGAGAGGUAAGUGGAAUUCCUAGUGUAGCGGUGAAAUGCGUAGAUAUUAGGAGGAACACCAGUGGCGAAGGCGACUUACUGGACUGUAACUGACGCUGAGGCGCGAAAGCGUGGGGAGCAAACAGGAUUAGAUACCCUGGUAGUCCACGCUGUAAACGAUGGAUACUAGGUGUGGGAGGUAUCGACCCCUUCCGUGCCGCAGUAAACGCAAUAAGUAUCCCGCCUGGGGAGUACGGCCGCAAGGUUGAAACUUAAAGGAAUUGACGG
RNAcentral lists this ribosomal RNA (413 nucleotides) under uncultured bacterium. RNAcentral describes it as "bacterial SSU rRNA". It matches the Rfam family "Bacterial small subunit ribosomal RNA", at positions 505 to 916 of the family's 1533-position model. The record is from RNAcentral.